AGAGCCGGGGGGCCGAGCUCCCCGCCCGUGACCCUCCGCCCGCAGCCCCUCUCCCCAGCCCGGAGCUCUUAAUGAGGGGGGACGGUGGUUUCUUUAAUUCCGAGACCCAGCAGAGCAGAACUUUCCCAAAGCGGGCUCCUGAGGACGAGUGAAGACUCGUACAAAGAAAAUUCACUGUGUAAACAUCCUGCCCAAGAAAGGAAGGUUCGCCCUUACUCCAUCUACAGGAUCUGUUGGAAAAAUGAUUUGUUCUGGCUGAGUCUACAGUGAACAAUUAGAGAAUGGAAACUCACGGAGUGAGCUUAAGCAAAAUCGGCACCCAGAGAAAGAGGUCUUAUUUUUCCUGAAAGGUAAGCACAGUGGCAGUGCCGAUGCCAGGCAGCAGGCUGUCUGC
This 394-nucleotide long non-coding RNA is filed under the name Calidris pugnax (ruff). Its description in RNAcentral is "lncRNA (ENSCPUG00000001453.1)". The record is from RNAcentral. Lineage: Eukaryota; Metazoa; Chordata; Aves; Charadriiformes; Scolopacidae.